This 451-nucleotide ribosomal RNA is filed under the name uncultured cyanobacterium. RNAcentral's name for it is "bacterial SSU rRNA". It matches the Rfam family "Bacterial small subunit ribosomal RNA", at positions 28 to 524 of the family's 1533-position model. The record is from RNAcentral. Lineage: Bacteria; Bacillati; Cyanobacteriota.
GAUGAACGCUGGCGGUAUGCUUAACACAUGCAAGUCGAACGGUCACUUCGGUGAUAGUGGCGGACGGGUGAGUAACGCGUGAGAAUCUGUCUUCAGGUCGGGGACAACAGUUAGAAAUGACUGCUAAUACCGGAUGUGCCUUAUGGUGAAAGAUUUAUUGCCUGAAAGAGAGCUCGCGUCAGAUUAGCUAGUAGGUGGUGUAAGAGACUACCUAGGCGACGAUCUGUAGCUGGUCUGAGAGGAUGAGCAGCCACACUGGGACUGAGACACGGCCCAGACUCCUACGGGAGGCAGCAAUGGGGAAUUUUCCGCAAUGGGCGAAAGCCUGACGGAGCAACGCCGCGUGAGGGAGGAAGGUCUUUGGAUUGUAAACCUCUUUUCUCAAGGAAGAAGUUCUGACGGUACUUGAGGAAUCAGCCUCGGCUAACUCCGUGCCAGCAGCCGCGGUAAU